GGCAGCGCUGCCCGGCGCCGCCUGCACGGGCAGGGCUCUUCGCCUGACGCAGUGAGGAGCUGCAGCCCUUCUCUUCUCGGAGGCCGGGCUCCAGCGCUGGGAUUUGCUCGGCUCCGGCUGCGUUUCCCUGCCCGCCUCCUGCCCCCGGCCCGCCCGCUUGGAAGGGCGCGGGGAGCCGCAGCCGCGGGUGCGUCCGCCGCCCAUCACCGCGCUUCGGGGCUGGGCGCGCCGCCGAGCGCCGGGAGCCGCCUCCGGAGCAGCUUCAACUAUGAUCAGUGCAUAAAUCUACCUGCAACACAGGAUGUUGGAAAAUUACCGAGAGACAGCAACGUCCUCCCUGCUGCUUGGUGAGAAAAGAAGGAUGCACCUUCAGGUUAGAUACUGGGCUUGGUGAGCACCUCGUGGGAUCCUGAAUGCUGUGUCCAGCGUGCCUCCCAGCCCCUGAGGACAACAACUAGCACACAUCCAGGACUGUGGCUGGGACCAGCAGCGACACACGGGCUCAGAGGUGAGCCGGGGGACCGAGCAGGGACAGCCAAACACACGGAGGCACGGGGAGAUGGGGACCAGCGCCGCGAUGUGCAGCAGAAAGAAAACGAGGAGAAGUACUAUAAAAAACGAGAGGAAGGCUUGUCUCUAAGCCUGAACAACUCCUCUGCACAGGCACUUAACUUCAUGACUCCCUCCUCGAGAUGCCAGAGGCUUGGUGAUGUGGGACCAGCCUCAGCCACCAAGGCCUUGGUAGCAGCCCCUGGCUGCUGGCUGCCGAGUACCGUGGGCACCGAGCUCCGCUUUCUCCACGGACGCUUCCCUCCCGCCUCUGAGCCAUGAGGAGAAGGGAGAGGCAAGCAAAGCUGCCCAAGGAGCACUAGCCCACACCUUCCCAGCCCCUGUCCUGUUCCCCGCUUCCAGCAGACCAGGAGCCCU
This 927-nucleotide long non-coding RNA is filed under the name Camarhynchus parvulus. RNAcentral describes it as "lncRNA (ENSCPVG00000000263.2)". Lineage: Eukaryota; Metazoa; Chordata; Aves; Passeriformes; Thraupidae. The record is from RNAcentral.